UAAGGCUGAUGGCGACCGGCGCACGGGUGAGUAACACGUAUCCAACCUGCCGUCUACUCUUAGCCAGCCUUCUGAAAGGAAGAUUAAUCCAGGAUGGCAUCAUGAGUUCACAUGUCCGCAUGAUUAAAGGUAUUUUCCGGUAGACGAUGGGGAUGCGUUCCAUUAGAUAGUAGGCGGGGUAACGGCCCACCUAGUCAACGAUGGAUAGGGGUUCUGAGAGGAAGGUCCCCCACAUUGGAACUGAGACACGGUCCAAACUCCUACGGGAGGCAGCAGUGAGGAAUAUUGGUCAAUGGGCGAUGGCCUGAACCAGCCAAGUAGCGUGAAGGAUGACUGCCCUAUGGGUUGUAAACUUCUUUUAUAAAGGAAUAAAGUCGGGUAUGCAUACCCGUUUGCAUGUACUUUAUGAAUAAGGAUCGGCUAACUCCGUGCUAGCAGCCGCGGUAAUACGGAGGAUCCGAGCGUUAUCCGGAUUUAUUGGGUUUAAAGGGAGCGUAGAUGGAUGUUUAAGUCAGUUGUGAAAGUUUGCGGCUCAACCGUAAAAUUGCAGUUGAUACUGGAUGUCUUGAGUGCAGUUGAGGCAGGCGGAAUUCGUGGUGUAGCGGUGAAAUGCUUAGAUAUCACGAAGAACUCCGAUUGCGAAGGCA
RNAcentral lists this ribosomal RNA (647 nucleotides) under uncultured Bacteroidales bacterium. RNAcentral describes it as "bacterial SSU rRNA". It matches the Rfam family "Bacterial small subunit ribosomal RNA", at positions 80 to 723 of the family's 1533-position model. The record is from RNAcentral. Lineage: Bacteria; Pseudomonadati; Bacteroidota; Bacteroidia; Bacteroidales.